CUCUUAUAGAUUUUAUAGAAUUUGGUUUUUAGGUGAAGAAACCUAAAUGUAAUUAAAAGACAAGAAGACCCUAUCGAGCUUAAAAUAAUUUUUUUGGUAUAAUGAUAACAUCUUACUCAAAAAAAGAUUUUGGUUGGGGCGACUAAGGAACACAAAAAGCUUCCUAUAAACUAUAGUUACUAAUAAGUAUUGAUCCAAAAAUUUGAUUAACAGAAUUAGUUACCGUAGGGAUAACAGCAUAAUCUUUUCUAAGAGUCCUUAUCGAAGAAAAGGUUUGUGACCUCGAUGUUGGACUAGGGUGCCCAGACAGGUGCAGAAGCCUUCAAUGGUUGGUCUGUUCGACCA
This 345-nucleotide ribosomal RNA is filed under the name Pseudamnicola sp. Rhodos. Its description in RNAcentral is "partial 16S ribosomal RNA". It matches the Rfam family "Bacterial large subunit ribosomal RNA", at positions 2048 to 2587 of the family's 2925-position model. Lineage: Eukaryota; Metazoa; Mollusca; Gastropoda; Littorinimorpha; Hydrobiidae. The record is from RNAcentral.